CACAAAGAUCUCUCUUACCGACAGUGCAAAUGUCUGGCCUCAGGUCUCCGGGUUUGGGCCAACUCUUAGGGAGUGGGGCUGCUGCUGCCCUGGCAAUCCUUUAUACCACAGUGGGAACAGCAGGCUGGACUAGAUAAGCCUUUGGUUUGAUCUAGCAGUGCUCUUCUUACAUCAAAGAGCACAUUUGUGUCUUCCAAAAAUCCCUCACAUCUGAAUAAGAAAUACAGUUUUUGAAGGAUUUGGAAUUCAUGAGCAUAUCUGUGGGAGAGCAGGAAGUGCCAUCCUCUACGGUUACUUAAGUACUGGUGAUUAAAGGAAGUUUUAGAACGAAGGUUAAAAACAACAACUUAAACCUUAAAAGGAGAAUAGUGUUAUUGAAAUAUACAUGAAUGUAUACGUAACUCAUAAUGACUUGCCAUCUGCUCAUAUAUAUUCAAACUGAAGCACAGCUACCAAAUCCCAACACACACAGAAUGGUGUAUCCAGAGAUAUGCCAUAGUUGAAGAGGCCUGGCCCCAAAAGAGCCCAUCUGCUAGCAGCAAGCUUCCUCUGCUUUCGAAUGAGAUCUCCUGCAUGGCUACUGAGAGAAACCAUCUCCACCUAUCUGGCCUGGCUGAAUCUAUAGAACAGUGCGGCAGAGAUUUUCUACGCCGUUUCCAGGCUGAUUUCUGUUUAGCUGCCACAAACAAUACAAUUUGAACUCUGCUUUGAUGUGAAAGAACUAAGAUGCAAAUUCUUCAUUCCGACUCUCGGUGGAUAUGUAUCAACACAGCUUUGUAUUGUGUGAU
This 788-nucleotide long non-coding RNA is filed under the name Pogona vitticeps (central bearded dragon). Its description in RNAcentral is "lncRNA (ENSPVIG00000012256.1)". The record is from RNAcentral. Lineage: Eukaryota; Metazoa; Chordata; Lepidosauria; Squamata; Agamidae.